This 75-nucleotide microRNA precursor is filed under the name Drosophila ananassae. RNAcentral's name for it is "Dan-Mir-34_pre stem-loop". The record is from RNAcentral. Lineage: Eukaryota; Metazoa; Arthropoda; Insecta; Diptera; Drosophilidae.
UGGCAGUGUGGUUAGCUGGUUGUGUAGCUGGUGCUCGUUGGCAAUUAAUUCACAGCCACUAUCUUCACUGCCGCC